Molecule: ribosomal RNA, 467 nt
Filed under: uncultured bacterium
Lineage: Bacteria
Description: partial 16S ribosomal RNA
Rfam family: Bacterial small subunit ribosomal RNA
Source: RNAcentral
GAUGAACGCUGGCGGCGUGCUUAACACAUGCAAGUCGAACGGAAAGGCCCAAGCUUGCUUGGGUACUCGAGUGGCGAACGGGUGAGUAACACGUGGGUGAUCUGCCCUGCACUUCGGGAUAAGCCUGGGAAACUGGGUCUAAUACCGGAUAGGACCACAUUUUGGAUGGUGUGGUGGAAAGUUUUUCGGUGUGGGAUGAGCUCGCGGCCUAUCAGCUUGUUGGUGGGGUAAUGGCCUACCAAGGCGUCGACGGGUAGCCGGCCUGAGAGGGUGUACGGCCACAUUUGGACUGAGAUACGGCCCAGACUCCUACGGGAGGCAGCAGUGGGGAAUAUUGCACAAUGGGCGCAAGCCUGAUGCAGCGACGCCGCGUGGGGGAUGACGGCCUUCGGGUUGUAAACUCCUUUCGCUAGGGACGAAGCGUUUUUGUGACGGUACCUGGAGAAGAAGCACCGGCUAACUACGUG